Molecule: ribosomal RNA, 782 nt
Filed under: uncultured Pseudoalteromonas sp.
Lineage: Bacteria; Pseudomonadati; Pseudomonadota; Gammaproteobacteria; Alteromonadales; Pseudoalteromonadaceae
Description: bacterial SSU rRNA
Rfam family: Bacterial small subunit ribosomal RNA
Source: RNAcentral
CCCUUAGAGUUUGAUCCUGGCUCAGAUUGAACGCUGGCGGCAGGCCUAACACAUGCAAGUCGAGCGGUAACAGAUUGAUAGCUUGCUAUCAAUGCUGACGAGCGGCGGACGGGUGAGUAAUGCCUGGGAAUAUGCCCUGAUGUGGGGGAUAACUAUUGGAAACGAUAGCUAAUACCGCAUAACCUCUUCGGAGCAAAGAGGGGGACCUUCGGGCCUCUCGCGUCAGGAUUAGCCCAGGUGGGAUUAGCUUGUUGGUGGGGUAAUGGCUCACCAAGGCAACGAUCCCUAGCUGGUCUGAGAGGAUGAUCAGCCACACUGGAACUGAGACACGGUCCAGACUCCUACGGGAGGCAGCAGUGGGGAAUAUUGCACAAUGGGGGAAACCCUGAUGCAGCCAUGCCGCGUGUAUGAAGAAGGCCUUCGGGUUGUAAAGUACUUUCAGUUGUGAGGAAGGCAGUAAAGUUAAUAGCUUUGCUGUUUGACGUUAGCAACAGAAGAAGCACCGGCUAACUCCGUGCCAGCAGCCGCGGUAAUACGGAGGGUGCGAGCGUUAAUCGGAAUUACUGGGCGUAAAGCGCAUGCAGGUGGUCUGUUAAGCAAGAUGUGAAAGCCCGGGGCUCAACCUCGGAACAGCAUUUUGAACUGGCAGACUAGAGUGCUGUAGAGGGGGGGUAGAAUUUCAGGUGUAGCGGUGAAAUGCGUAGAGAUCUGAAGGAAUACCGGGUGGCGAAGGCGGCCCCCUGGACAGAUACUGACACUCAGAUGCGAAAGCGUGGGGAGCA